UUUAAUUAGCCCCCACUGGUUUAUUUUUUUUAAUUGAUCUUAUUCUAGAAGGUGGAUCAAACAAGAUGUUGCUGUGUCCAUAACUGUUAUUUAUAGGAAAACUGAGGCCUAGAGACAUUCAGAAGCCAAGACUUAACUUCUGUUUCUCUUUGUAUUUUGAAGAUAGUCACCUUCCCCUUUUGAGGGAAGAAAGGAAUAUAGGGAUUGCAGGGACCAAAACACAAAAUUGCACAGGUUAAAAAUGUUCUCAUAUCAUCUUUUCCACCUGCCCCCCAACUCUUUAGUAAAUUGGAGUUCUCUUGUAGUGCAGUGGGUUAAGGAUCUUGCAUUGUCAUUGCAAUGGCUCAGGUCAAUGCUGUGACACAAGUUUUAUCCCUGGACUGGAAACUCCCACACACUACAGGUGCAGCCAAAAAACAAAUAAACAAAAAAAUGAUGAACAAAAACCCAUAACUCUUUGGUAAAUCUUUGAUUCCCAGGAGAAUCUAUUUUUAACUAAAGAGUUCCUUAUAAGAAGUCUGUGCAGAAUCAGUUUCUCCAGAAUUGGAGCCAGCUCUGGGCACCUCCUGAGUGCUUGGCAAACAUUCUCUACUGAGGUCACACCAGCUGCCUCCUCCAUUUAGCAAAGCCUCCUUCUUCCAGCACUUAGCACUGUGUGGGCUCCAUGGCCACAUAACCCCUGUGCAAACUGACCUCUGCCAACAUCCAGUCUUAUGGCCAGAAGAAAGCCCUUCUGUUCCUCUGAAGUGACUGGACAGAAAGGCAGUGACUGCAUGUGUAGACUUAGUCUGACCUGAACACAGAUGGACAGGACUCUGCUCGGGUCAAGCCAGGACAAGGAGAGACCAGGUGGAGACACUCAGGCUUCGAGGGAUGAAUUUAACCCCAUUCCUACAGCUAACAUGUGGCAGAACCAGUGUGCAAACCCAGGUCUAUAACUCUUCCAUGUCUAGACCUUAAAGUAACUGGACUCUGUUCAAUCACGUUUGAGACAAGGACAGUGUCAUCCUCUCAGAGGGAGCUAGUAACAAAGAGCCAACUCUGUACAAAAGGCUCCUGGCAGUCUUACUCUGUGUAAGAGAGAGGGAGAGUCAAAAGCAGGAAGAUAAAACCUGGCAUCCGGUGGAAACCAGAGGCACAAGUUUUAGCAGCAGAAACUGCAACAAGUUGAGAAAUGUGCUCUGAACACAAGGGCUCUGAGAAUGCAAAGCACUGAGUCAGACUCUUAACGUCUUCUUACCAAGAUAAUGCCUAAAAGACGGGAUCUGUUGAGAACACUAAGAACCUAAAUAUUACCUCCCUUGAAAUGAAGAUCCUUUCAUGUCAUAUUUAUCCUUAUUUUGUGUCUCUUCAUCAUGAGAUAGUCAUGUCUAGUUUGUUGGCCAGAAGUUCUGAAUCAUCUUGACAUAUUAAUUUCUAUGGCUGAUUUUUUAAAAUCUUUCAUUACUUGGAGAGUAUACAGUUUGCUUUAUUUCAGGUUCUCAAAAGUGUAUUCACUCAUAUGUUUGUUUUAGGAAAUUGAACUUCAUCAAGGAACAUAGGAACAUAAAGAAGCCUUUGAAACACGUAAUGGAGAAUUUUGAUUUUCUAGGCCAGUAGCAUCUCCCAAAAGGCUGAGUUCUGAUGGGACAGGCUGAUUUGCAUCACAGCCCUGUCACUUGCCAGGGUGACCUUGAGCAAGUGGCUUAUCCUGUCCAUGUCUCCAUUCUUCUUCAAAUGAGAUAGUAAUAGAAUCUACUUCACAGGUAAUAGAAGACGCAAAGAAACACUGUCAUUUUGUAAACAUUUCAAUAUUUGUACCCCCUUUGUCCCUGUUGACAUCUGUGUGAUAGCCCAGAGUGUGAAUAUGCCAUAAUUAACUGUCCCCUUACUGAUGAGCAUCAGGUGUUUCCAGUUAUUAAACAAGACAAGCAGAGUUCCUGCCCUGAAGGGUUACCAUCUAGUGGAGGGAGGCAAAAAGAAUAAAUGAACAAGAUAAAUUGUGCUGUAUUAAAUUUCAUUUAACUUAAUAACCAGAGCAACACAGAAGCAAGUCAAUGGAUGAAAGGCACAUAUGUUACCAAGGGUGAUCCGGCAGGGCUUCUGGAGAGAAUGCUGUUGGACAGAGCCAUGACAGGAGAAAGAGCCAGCUAGCCACAGAAUGAGAAGUCAAGGACUUUGGGCAAGGGAACAGCAAGUGCAGAAUCCCUGAUGUAUGAAAGAAUUUAGCCCAUUCUGAGUGUGGAAGGCCAUGAGAUAGACCCUGAUAUUUAGGGGUCUGAUGAAAUCAGCACCACAGAUCAAUAAGAAAAGAACAAACUCUUUAGUAGAUGACAUGGACACCAGUGGCUGACCGUGUAGCGUGAAAUACAACAGCAUCUCCACUUCACAAGCUGAGCUGUGUUCCAGGGAAGGAGAAUGUGAAGGACCAUGGCAAGAAGGACAAGCCACCAGAAGCUGUGGGAGAGUUUUCCUCAGGGCCGUUGCUAAAUCUUGUUCAUGUUUUUAGGAAAUCGUUUGUGCUCUUCUGUGGGGAAUGGCUUAUAGCAAGGCAAAAGUGGAAGCAGGAAGACCAGUUAGGCUAAUACAGUAGAGAUGAGGGAGAUAAUGGCUUGGGCUAGAGCAGUGGCUGGGAUGCUGAGGGAAAGCUGGAGGGAAAACAGUUUCCCCUGAGUGCAGAGGGCUGAGGACCUGACCAUUAUCACCCUUGGUGCCCAGGAGCCGCAAGCUUAUCUUCUCAUUAUUUCUCUGAACCCACCAAGCCUUUCCCAUUCUCUCCUCGGAGAAAGGCAAUCAUUAUUCAGCUUUCCCAGAGUUUUCCAAUUUAAUAGCUGCAGUGAAAUUUGAUUGUUAUUUCAACUUCUCUGAAUACCAAUGACUUUGAGCAUCUCCUCAAAUGCUUAUUUGUUUGGGGGGUUUCCCCUUCAAUAAACUGCAGGUUCGAACCUCUA
This is a non-coding RNA of Sus scrofa (pig), 2930 nucleotides long. Lineage: Eukaryota; Metazoa; Chordata; Mammalia; Artiodactyla; Suidae. The record is from RefSeq and is a predicted model, not a curated record.